AUUAUAGAUCACCAAACAAACACAUGCAUAUGCAUUGAAUUACGAUGUAUAUACUCUAUCAAUCCAACAAACAUUUUUUUACCAUUUGUGAUCAUUGUAUCAUCUCCGAUCUUCGUAUCACCAUCUUCAAUCACCGAAAAAAAUUUCGAUCAUUGUCGUCGGCUUUACGUUUAUGAAAAACUUUAUUUUUCUGAAAUAUUUUCCAACGACUAGCCGUACAACUUUAUACACAAAUGUGUAUAGGUUUGUACAAACCCAUACAAAAGUGUAUACACAAAUGUGUAUAGAUUUGUACAAAGUAUAAUACUAAAUACUAUAUACUUAGUAUACACAUUUAUAUGGCCGUCAAAUGUCAAUUUUGCUCCCGUAUUUUAACCAUUUCUUUGGCUCCUAUCGAUCGAAUCAAACAUUGAGACUAACAUUUUAUUUCUUGAUUUCCACCUGAGCUGUGAAUGAGAGGGAGCAAGACAAUAGGAACCAAACACCGAUGAUCCCUAUAUAUUAAUCUCAUCCAAGUUAG
RNAcentral lists this long non-coding RNA (520 nucleotides) under Linum usitatissimum (flax). RNAcentral describes it as "long non-coding RNA (LUSI_LNC007252)". Lineage: Eukaryota; Viridiplantae; Streptophyta; Magnoliopsida; Malpighiales; Linaceae. The record is from RNAcentral.